AUAUUGGACAAUGGGGGGAACCCUGAUCCAGCGACGCCGCGUGAGUGAAGAAGUAUCUCGGUAUGUAAAGCUCUAUCAGCAGGGAAGAAAGAAAUGACGGUACCUGACCAAGAAGCCCCGGCUAACUACGUGCCAGCAGCCGCGGUAAUACGUAGGGGGCAAGCGUUAUCCGGAUUUACUGGGUGUAAAGGGAGCGUAGACGGUAAUGCAAGUCUGGAGUGAAAUGCAGGGGCUCAACCCCCGGACUGCUCUGGAAACUAUGUUACUGGAGUGCAGGAGAGGUAAGCGGAAUUCCUAGUGUAGCGGUGAAAUGCGUAGAUAUUAGGAGGAACACCAGUGGCGAAGGCGGCUUACUGGACUGUAACUGACGUUGAGGCUCGAAAGCGUGGGGAGCAAAC
Molecule: ribosomal RNA, 398 nt
Filed under: uncultured bacterium
Lineage: Bacteria
Description: bacterial SSU rRNA
Rfam family: Bacterial small subunit ribosomal RNA
Source: RNAcentral